RNAcentral lists this ribosomal RNA (301 nucleotides) under uncultured bacterium. Its description in RNAcentral is "partial 16S ribosomal RNA". It matches the Rfam family "Bacterial small subunit ribosomal RNA", at positions 509 to 809 of the family's 1533-position model. The record is from RNAcentral.
CAGCAGCCGCGGUAAUACGGAGGGUGCAAGCGUUAAUCGGAAUUACUGGGCGUAAAGCGCACGCAGGCGGUUUGUUAAGUCAGAUGUGAAAUCCCCGGGCUCAACCUGGGAACUGCAUCUGAUACUGGCAAGCUUGAGUCUCGUAGAGGGGGGUAGAAUUCCAGGUGUAGCGGUGAAAUGCGUAGAGAUCUGGAGGAAUACCGGUGGCGAAGGCGGCCCCCUGGACGAAGACUGACGCUCAGGUGCGAAAGCGUGGGGAGCAAACAGGAUUAGAUACCCGCGUAGUCCCUGUCUCUUAUAA